RNAcentral lists this unclassified non-coding RNA (218 nucleotides) under uncultured fungus. RNAcentral describes it as "sequence contains ITS1, 5.8S rRNA gene". The stretch from base 170 to 218 matches the Rfam family "5.8S ribosomal RNA", at positions 1 to 49 of the family's 154-position model. The record is from RNAcentral. Lineage: Eukaryota; Fungi.
UCUCCGUUGGUGAACCAGCGGAGGGAUCAUUACAGAGGACCCGUCGCCUGCGACGCCCUCGCGAACACGCCCUCGUUGCUUCGGCGGGCCGCCCCCGGGGGGCCCGCCGGCGGCACCCGCCCUUCUGUCUCACUGUAGCCUCUCUGAGUCGGCACGCACAAUCAGUCAAAACUUUCAACAACGGAUCUCUUGGCUCUGGCAUCGAUGAAGAACGCAGC